This 205-nucleotide unclassified non-coding RNA is filed under the name Hevea brasiliensis (rubber tree). Lineage: Eukaryota; Viridiplantae; Streptophyta; Magnoliopsida; Malpighiales; Euphorbiaceae. The record is from RNAcentral.
GCCGAUUGGCAGGUUACCUAUGUUUUUGCGAAAAACGGCAAACCAAUUGGACCACAGGCAAAUUCUAAUUGGCUUUACAUCGUGCCAUGGGGGAUGUACGGAUGUGUGAACUACAUCAAGCAGAAGUACGGGAAUCCGACAGUCGUCAUAACUGAAAACGGAAUGGAUCAACCUGCGAACCUCAGCCGCGACCAGUACUUGCGCG